Molecule: long non-coding RNA, 545 nt
Organism: Neofelis nebulosa (Clouded leopard)
Lineage: Eukaryota; Metazoa; Chordata; Mammalia; Carnivora; Felidae
Exons: 2
Source: RefSeq, a predicted model, not a curated record
CACUCAAAAUUCAACAGUAAAAAACAAAGCAAUCAAAUGAGAAAAUGGGCAAAAGACAUAAAGCACCAAAGCACAUAAAAAAAUAUUCAAUGUCCUUAGCCGUUAGAGAACCCACAAAAAAGCAAUCAUGAAACUACCAUACAACCUAGCUAUCUCAUUCCUGGGUAUUAUUCCAGAGAAAUAAAGACAUAUAUCCACACAAAAACAUGUAACAAUGAAUAUUUACAGCACUGUUAGUUAUAACAGCCAAAAACUAGGAGCAAACCAGAUUUCCUUUGAGGAGUGAAUAAAUAAACUGUUAUACAUCCACACCAUGGAAUGCUACUCAGCAACAAAAAGGAACAAAUCAUUGAUUCAAACAACCACUUGGAUAAAUCUCUAGGGAAUUACGGCCCAAUCAAAAUGACAACAUACAUCUUCAAAUAUGUCAGCUACACAAGGGGAGGGAGAAGAAAGAAAAGAAGCUACGAAAUAAGAAGGCCAGUGGAAGCAACCCAGGUAUCCACCAACAGAUGAAUGGAUAAAUAAAAUGUGGUAUAUACAUA